GAUGAACGCUAGCUACAGGCUUAACACAUGCAAGUCGAGGGGAAACGACAUCGAAAGCUUGCUUUUGAUGGGCGUCGACCGGCGCACGGGUGAGUAACGCGUAUCCAACCUGCCCACCACUUGGGGGAUAACCUUGCGAAAGUAAGACUAAUACCCAAUGAUAUCUCUAGAAGACAUCUGAAAGGGAUUAAAAGAUUUAUCGGUGAUGGAUGGGGAUGCGUCUGAUUAGCUUGUUGGCGGGGUAACGGCCCACCAAGGCAACGAUCGGUAGGGGUUCUGAGAGGAAGGUCCCCCACAAUGGAACUGAGACACGGUCCAUACUCCUACGGGAGGCAGCAGUGAGGAAUAUGGUCAAUGGGCGGAAGCCUGAACCAGCCAUGCCGCGUGCGGGAAGGAGGCCCUAUGGGCUGUGAACCGCUUUUGCCUGGGGGCAAUAAGGGCGUCGCGCACGUCCGAU
RNAcentral lists this ribosomal RNA (457 nucleotides) under uncultured bacterium. RNAcentral's name for it is "bacterial SSU rRNA". It matches the Rfam family "Bacterial small subunit ribosomal RNA", at positions 28 to 470 of the family's 1533-position model. The record is from RNAcentral.